CUGACCUAUCAACUCGAGGACGGUGGGGUAGAGGCCCGCCGCGGUAACGACGGGUAACGGGGAAUCAGGUUCGAUUCCGGAGAGGGAGCCCGAGAAACGGCUACCACUUCCAAGGAAGGCAGCAGGCGCGCAACUUACCCUAAUCUCGAUUCGAGGAGGUAGUGACAAGAAAUACCGAUGCGGGACCCUACGGGUGCCGCGUUCGGAAUGAGUACGAUUCGAACCACCUAACGAGGAACGAUCGGAGGGCAAGUCUGGUGCCAGCAGCCGCGGUAAUUCCAGCUCCAAUAGCGUACGUUAAAGUUGCUGCAGUUAAAAAGCUCGUAGUUGAACGUUCGGGUUCCGCGGGACGGGGCCGCCCCGCGAGGGACGGCGCCGCCCCGGGGCUCGUGAUAUCUUAUCUCGCCGCCCGUCGCGAGGCGGACGGAGGGAUGGAUGAGGUUACCUGGAAAAAAUCGGGGCGAUCUAGGCGGGCGAACCUCGCCAACGAACGAUCGGACAUGGGAUAACGGAAGAGGGCGUCGGCUCGACUUCGUCGGUUCCUCGGGCCGAGGCACGUACGGUGAAUAGGGACGGUCGGGGCC
This 584-nucleotide ribosomal RNA is filed under the name uncultured eukaryote. RNAcentral describes it as "bacterial SSU rRNA". It matches the Rfam family "Eukaryotic small subunit ribosomal RNA", at positions 307 to 889 of the family's 1831-position model. The record is from RNAcentral.